Molecule: ribosomal RNA, 395 nt
Filed under: uncultured Pseudomonas sp.
Lineage: Bacteria; Pseudomonadati; Pseudomonadota; Gammaproteobacteria; Pseudomonadales; Pseudomonadaceae
Description: bacterial SSU rRNA
Rfam family: Bacterial small subunit ribosomal RNA
Source: RNAcentral
UGGGGAAUAUUGGACAAUGGGCGAAAGCCUGAUCCAGCCAUGCCGCGUGUGUGAAGAAGGUCUUCGGAUUGUAAAGCACUUUAAGUUGGGAGGAAGGGUUGUAGAUUAAUACUCUGCAAUUUUGACGUUACCGACAGAAUAAGCACCGGCUAACUCUGUGCCAGCAGCCGCGGUAAUACAGAGGGUGCAAGCGUUAAUCGGAAUUACUGGGCGUAAAGCGCGCGUAGGUGGUUUGUUAAGUUGGAUGUGAAAUCCCCGGGCUCAACCUGGGAACUGCAUUCAAAACUGACUGACUAGAGUAUGGUAGAGGGUGGUGGAAUUUCCUGUGUAGCGGUGAAAUGCGUAGAUAUAGGAAGGAACACCAGUGGCGAAGGCGACCACCUGGACUAAUACUA